RNAcentral lists this small RNA (250 nucleotides) under Vigna angularis var. angularis. Its description in RNAcentral is "Non-protein coding transcript". Lineage: Eukaryota; Viridiplantae; Streptophyta; Magnoliopsida; Fabales; Fabaceae. The record is from RNAcentral.
CACAAUUGUUCGAAAUGACUAAGUUUUUCUUUUCACAAAUACUUGCCUUUAUCCUUAUCAUUUCAGUUAUUUUAAGAACAGGCGCAACAGAUCCACAAAGAUGUCAAAAAGUGUUACAGCCCACAGACUGCAUCCUCCAAAAAUGUCAAUCGGAUUGCUUCAACAUGUUUAAAAACUCACAAGCGAGUGGAAAUUGCAUUCACAACAACAAUAAUAAUACUUUUGAAUGUGUUUGCAUCUUUAAUUGUAA